GUACAGGCAUGGGGGAGGACCGAGCAUAGAGAACUAGUAAACGCCGUGGGGUUCCCUGUGCACACCGUGGCCAUGACUUUGACAGUACCGGCUAGCGGACGUUGCUCUCCCGUCUCCAGGCACCUGAAAGCGGACCGGUAGAGGAGGCUAACACCGGAGGGAGAGGCAUUAGCUGACGCCGGCUCGAGUCGGUAAAGCAGCUUUUAUCUGAUUUUUUUUAACGUGUUUGUUGAGCUUGUUUCUUCACGAGAUAACUGCCGCUCCUCGUUCAGCGGUUUUACGUGGACGCUACCGGGAGGCGCUUUUAUUUGAGCGGUGGAGUGCUGCUGAGUGAGACAGUUUGACACUUUCAGCGAAAACAGGCUGAAAGCUUCUGCUCGGGGACGCCGGUGCAAGGUGAGCGCUGUCCUCACGUCAACCCCGGCGCUGCGCCGGCCUGCUGUACUCCAGCUACAGGGGAACGCCGUCGUCGUGUGGCCGGUGCACUGCAGCUCUGUGACGUCCCCAGGUUCACCUACACCGGCUUCCUCUUACUGCCACCGCACUGUGUGAAACGAGUUACUCUACAUUCUGCAGUCAGAGAGUUUCUGUGAAGGAAGACGCUUUGCCACAUGAUGUUUUCCAGUAAAUAUGUUGGUGAAGAAAGCCGGCCUCCCCCUCCAUUGCACCAGUCCACAGAGAGCCUUGCCUGACCUCAUCAGUCAGCCUGUCCAUCACCACUGCAAGUAAGAAGGGGCUCACAGCCGAUCCCUGAUGUGAUCCCACCGCCUUGAAUCCAUCAGUCACUCCUACCGCACGCCUCACCAGUGUAUCCGUCCUGCCCCACCUUCACAUACUUCUCUGCCAAUCAUGCAGUACCACACUUCCUGUCUUGGCACCCUAUCAUACGCUUUCUGUUGAUCCACAAAUACACAGUGCAGCUCCUUCUGUCCACUGUCCUCUGUCCUAGACACCCGAUACCUCUGAAGGCAUGCCACCUGGACCAACCACCUUCUAAUCCUCUGCACUUCCUCGCUGACUUUUUUUUUUUUUUUAACUUUAUUUAUUAAUUUUUUUAAGAAAAAGGGAUUUUAAAAACCCCCAUUGAUGAGUGCUGACAAGACGAAACAUUAUUUGCAUUUCUUGAUAUCAUGCAGAAAUAUAUGAAAGUUGAAAGAAAUGUUUGUCUAUGCUUCUUAUUGCUGAGCCUGUAACCUUAGUCUGUUUGCACCAUCUAAGCACAGCCAGCGAUUGUUUCAAAGCCGCUACACUGACAUUUACCUUGCAGAUAAAUAAAAGCUCAGUGAGAUGUCAUGCUCCUUUGCUUCCAUAUCCCUGUGAGUGAGUAAGAACCGACAGCUUUACGUCGUCACGUGUCGUAGUUUCCCUUAAAACGUUUGUGCUCAUCAGACUCAUCGUGCCAUAUUUUUCUGCGCUUGGACGAGUCGUGACUGAGGCGCCAAAUGCUUUGACAACACAACAAACAGCCCAGCUCAUUUAAAAAAAAAACAUUCAGCAGCAUGAAGAAUUAAUGAAGCAGAUCUGGGUAUCCAGUGUCUUUGAGCGAUGCCUGCUCAUCUGUUCCAGGCCUUGUUUACAAAACCAUAAAAUGCUGCGGGGUAGAUCUGGAUACUGGCUUAAAGCCCAGAUGAUACGGGUGAAGUGCACCACAAGAAAAGCCUUGUUCCCAUCUAAGGGUAAGGCCCCCAACCCUAAAAGAAAAGAAAAAAUCACUGUCAUGAGAACUGUCCUCCUUUUAGCUUUUGCAUCUCUUUUUUUUUUAAAACUUAUUUUUCCUUUUCCUUAAGCUAUCAGAGAGAAUAUGUCAUCAGGCUGCAGUCAACCUUUGAUUGUUGAUAUUGAUGCCUUUUCUGGUUACAUCUGUCCAGCUGUGAUUGGACAGUUGCUUGUACAGUAUCAAACUCGGCUGAGUUGUCACGUUAAACAAAGACGUAUUGCUGUGCUGUUGUUAAAGACGCAUUCAUAGGUGGAAAAGACAACACACAGAGUAGUGAAGCUAAUAAGUCAGACAUCGUAAGUGGGUCAUUGGCUGUUUGAAAACACUGACGCUUCACUGCUCGGUCCUGAAUAGGAUUUUUCAGAGUUGGCUUGUGAGAGAUUGGACAUGACAAGAGACAGAGAAGCUGCCCUGUUUCAUGAACAGUUCCCUGGGCUUGCUGAGAAAAGUCAUCGAACACAUUGACAUAGAUGCAUUGGAUGGAAGUAGAAGAUUUGAUUUGCUUUGAUGUUUCAGAUAUCGCCCUCUAAUGUAGCUCAGUAUCAAAAAGACCUCAGUAAUGUUAUGUAAAGCUGCCUAACUGAAGAUUUUUCUCAGG
This is a long non-coding RNA of Astatotilapia calliptera (eastern happy), 2315 nucleotides long. Lineage: Eukaryota; Metazoa; Chordata; Actinopteri; Cichliformes; Cichlidae. The record is from Ensembl.